UACAGAGGGUGCAAGCGUUAAUCGGAAUUACUGGGCGUAAAGCGCGCGUAGGCGGUUGUGUAAGUUGGAGGUGAAAUCCCCGGGCUUAACCUGGGCACUGCCUUCAAAACUGCACGGCUAGAGUAUGGGAGAGGAAGGUAGAAUUCCAGGUGUAGCGGUGAAAUGCGUAGAGAUCUGGAGGAAUACCGAUGGCGAAGGCAGCCUUCUGGCCGAAUACUGACGCUGAGGUGCGAAAGCAUGGGGAG
RNAcentral lists this ribosomal RNA (245 nucleotides) under uncultured Paraperlucidibaca sp. Its description in RNAcentral is "partial 16S ribosomal RNA". It matches the Rfam family "Bacterial small subunit ribosomal RNA", at positions 524 to 768 of the family's 1533-position model. The record is from RNAcentral. Lineage: Bacteria; Pseudomonadati; Pseudomonadota; Gammaproteobacteria; Moraxellales; Moraxellaceae.